This 253-nucleotide ribosomal RNA is filed under the name uncultured bacterium. Its description in RNAcentral is "partial 16S ribosomal RNA". It matches the Rfam family "Bacterial small subunit ribosomal RNA", at positions 524 to 776 of the family's 1533-position model. The record is from RNAcentral.
UACGGGGGGGGCAAGCGUUGUUCGGAAUUACUGGGCGUAAAGGGCUCGUAGGCGGCCAACUAAGUCCGACGUGAAAUCCCAAGGCUUAACCUUGGAACUGCGUCGGAUACUGGAUGGCUUGAAUUCGGGAGAGGGAUGCAGAAUUCCCGGUGUAGCGGUGAAAUGCGUAGAGAUCGGGAGGAACAUCCGUGGCGAAGGCGGCCAUCUGGAUCAACACUGACGCUGAGGCACGAAAGCGUGGGGAGCAAACAGG